UACUCCUACGGGAGGCAGCAGUGGGGAAUAUUGGACAAUGGGCGAAAGCCUGAUCCAGCAAUGCCGCGUGAGUGAUGAAGGCCUUAGGGUUGUAAAGCUCUUUUACCAGGGAUGAUAAUGACAGUACCUGGAGAAUAAGCUCCGGCUAACUCCGUGCCAGCAGCCGCGGUAAUACGGAGGGAGCUAGCGUUGUUCGGAAUUACUGGGCGUAAAGCGUGCGUAGGCGGUGACUCAAGUCAGAGGUGAAAGCCUGGAGCUCAACUCCAGAACUGCCUUUGAAACUAGGUCGCUAGAAUCUGGGAGAGGUGAGUGGAAUUCCGAGUGUAGAGGUGAAAUUCGUAGAUAUUGGAAGAACACCAGUGGCGAAGGCGGCUCACUGGACCAGAAUUGACGCUGAGGCACGAAAGCGUGGGGAGCAAACAGGAUUAGAUACCCUGGUAGUCCACGCCGUAAACGAUGAUAACUAGCUGCCAGGGCUCUUAGAGCUUUGGUGGCGCAGCUAACGCAUUAAGUUAUCCGCCUGGGGAGUACGGUCGCAAGAUUAAAACUCAAAUGAAUUGACGG
RNAcentral lists this ribosomal RNA (564 nucleotides) under uncultured Sphingopyxis sp. Its description in RNAcentral is "bacterial SSU rRNA". It matches the Rfam family "Bacterial small subunit ribosomal RNA", at positions 334 to 916 of the family's 1533-position model. The record is from RNAcentral. Lineage: Bacteria; Pseudomonadati; Pseudomonadota; Alphaproteobacteria; Sphingomonadales; Sphingopyxidaceae.